GUCAACGAUCUUUAUAAAGUUGUUUGAAGCGUCUAUGAUAAACAGAGAGCAAAUUAGAAUGCUGGGAAGUUGACAUGUCGUCACUUCAUUUUUUUGCGCCUGCGCAUAAAUCUGAGAAGCGUGAGUUUGUCAUAAUUGUUUAUCUAGACAUAGGAUAGGUUGUGUGAAAAUAUUACUGAUGUUUAACGUUAAAAAUGGACCAAAAGAUUAAUGCUAAACAACGUUUGACAUGUUUGAACGAACGUAAAUAGAUUAUUUACUAGGUUUUUUAGCUUUUCGGCGUGAUUUUACACCCCCCCCCACCACGUUUUGUGGGAGCAUAAUGAACGCUAACUACUUGGUGUUAUUUGGACAUAAAUUAUGAACUUUGUCAAAAGAAACCACAUUUGUUCUGGACCUGGGAUUCCUGGCAGUGCCUUCUGAUGGAGAUAAUCAAAGGGCCAGGAGUCAUGGAUCACACUGGCAGGUGUGCUAAGAACACAGAUUACAUGCUAACAGCGACCAGAUUCUCCGGCAUGAUUACAUCACUGAAAUACUCAAGCUGUGAUGCUCUCUCCGCCGUUCUUCCCAGACAGAGAGCUACUCCACUAGCCUGGCUUCUCCAUCACACGUCCCCCUCUGCCCCCUCUUAGUUGUCCCCCUUUGCUAAUCAAUGUUUUCUGCUUGCGCCUACUCUAUGGAAAGGAGUAAUCGUCCCAGAAUAUUUGAUGCAAGAACUGUGAACACCAUGUGCGCCUCACAAAAGAUCUCAUCCAACAUCAAGAGGCCCAUGUCCAGUUUGACAUUGCACAGAAACUCAACAGGACCAUUGGUGAGCAGACAAACCUCAUUACAGCCAUUUGAUAAUGACUGUGAGCUGAAGUCAGAGUCUGGAAAGCACUCAAUCUCAAGUACAUCUAAGGAACAUCAACCAUAUAUAGUAAGUGUGCUUCUUGAACAGAAGGUGUUUGCUUGGACACCUGGCAGGUUCUACCGAAGCAUCCAGAACUUCCAAAUAAACCUGUUGCACAAAUUUGGACUAUGAGGAACUAGUGUUCUGGAUCAGCAACCACAAACUGAAGUUACAUUGUGAGAAGAACAAACUGUCUGCUCGUCUGGCACGCUGACAGAGGCACAAACAUUGACAGUUGGAAAUGGUUACCUUAAAUGCCACAGUUUGAGAAGUAUUGUAAGAAAGGGGAAAGUAGACAUAGUACUGUAACCAAUGACAACGUAGACAAAAAAAAUAUGUAUUUACUUUUGUAACAUUAUAUUCUUUGUUAAAUGUAUUUGUGUAAUUACUUUUAUUUACAAUGUUAUGUACUCUUAACAUUGUUCCUGUCGAUGCUGUCUGAAAUUGUCACACCAGCCAUUUCUUGGACGUCCUGGACCGUUCUCUCAUUCGGGACAUCCACAGGCAUCGUCUGGACCGACCCGCACCUCGUCUCCAGGGUCAUCGCCCCGCCUCGCAGGAGGGGGGUUACUGUCACACCAGCCUUCGCUUUGGCUCCCCCUCCUGUCCAGCUCAGGCGUUCGGCGUCGCCGGCUUUCUAGCUGCUGCCGAACCUACUGCUGGCAAACGCCCUUCACUCAUCAACCCCGGACUUGUCUCAUCAUCAUUACACACACCUGGUUCCAAUCCCCACUCUGUCACUGUAUAUAUACUCCCUCUAUCGUUUCAUUGUAAAUGUUACUUGUUCUCCGAGAGGAAUCUCUCCUAUUUCCUGAGUACUUUAUAUGUUGCACUUUGAGUUCGCCCUGUGUCUUUUGGUUUAUGAAGAUAUAUUUUGAGCACAACAGUGUUUGGGUUUCGUCCCGCUUUGAUCUAUGGUGCUUUAAAUAAGCUCAGUAGUUCUAAACCUGCGACUGCCUCCUGCCUACUCCUCUCUACACCAGUGACAGAAACCUUAUAUACAAAUACAUUUUAUGGUCUGUGAUUUAAACACCGUGCAAGACUAGUAACACAACUGCUAUAGCCUUUUCUCAAUUCUCUGGGCCAACACUAGGGGGACAGCCCACACUUUUUCUAUUUUGAAAGUUGUGUAAAGUUAAUAGUAGCACACUUUGUUACUUAUUUCAUCCAAUAAAAACAACUACAAGUUAAUUUACAAUAACGUCAUACAGUCCACUGAGCAUUGAUGUUUCCAAAUCUGGAUUAUGAAAGAGAAAAGUGAAAGAAAAUGCAUUUUAUGAAUAAUUAACUAUGGGUGACAGGUCACAUCUUGGCCCACUCUACAUUUUAGAUAUCUGAAAAUGAGUAUUAGAACAAAGCUUUAACCUAAAUUAUUUAUUUACAGUGUGUGUAUGGCAUACAUUCCAUACAGCUCAAUGGUAAACAGGCCUGGUCCACAACAAUAACAUCCUAGACUACAUGCUGUGAAGGACAUAUUGAAAUUUACUGUGGGG
This 2385-nucleotide long non-coding RNA is filed under the name Salmo salar (Atlantic salmon). RNAcentral's name for it is "lncRNA (ENSSSAG00000094166.1)". The record is from RNAcentral. Lineage: Eukaryota; Metazoa; Chordata; Actinopteri; Salmoniformes; Salmonidae.